Mytilus trossulus (common blue mussel) is the source of this 480-nucleotide long non-coding RNA. RefSeq lists it as uncharacterized. Lineage: Eukaryota; Metazoa; Mollusca; Bivalvia; Mytilida; Mytilidae. The record is from RefSeq and is a predicted model, not a curated record. The transcript has 2 exons.
UUUUAGGGUCAAAUUAGACAUCUUGAUGUCGUUUUGCUGUUGCUGUAUCUUUUGAUAGCUUACAUUGCAUACAAGGUGCUUUGAUUUAUCACGAGAGAUCAUCACGAAUCAAUAUAUUCCUUUUUUUGUGAUGGAAUUAAGACAAGGUAUCAAGGUCAUCAAAAUUACGAUAUGAAAGCACGCAAACUAUCCAAGACAGAAUGAGGCAUUUAAUAUGCAUAUGGAACGGCCGUACCACCAUUGAAGCCAAAUAUCUGAUAACAACCUGACAGAAAGCAAGAAAAUGAAGAAGCGUAUGUCAAGAAUCAAAACACUUUAACUGUAAAUUUAUGAGAAGCAUAUCCACCUAGCACGGCGAAAUUUUGUUAACCUCCAUACAUCACGAGAAAGAGAAAGGGAGACUUUGGUGUACCAAUUUCGGACAAAUUGAAAGCAUUUGAAAGGAAAUUAAAUGUUAUUUACCUGGAAAUCGUUUUUAGA